UGGGGAAUAUUGGACAAUGGGCGAAAGCCUGAUCCAGCCAUGCCGCGUGAGUGACGAAGGCCUUAGGGUUGUAAAACUCUUUCGUCGGGGACGAUAAUGACGGUACCCGAAGAAGAAGCUCCGGCUAACUUCGUGCCAGCAGCCGCGGUAAUACGAAGGGGGCUAGCGUUGUUCGGAUUUACUGGGCGUAAAGCGCGUGUAGGCGGACUUGUAAGUUGGGGGUGAAAUCCCGAGGCUCAACCUCGGAACUGCCUCCAAAACUCAAAUCUGGACCUAAGUAGAGGCAAGUGGAAUUGCGAGUGUAGAGGUGAAAUUCGUAGAUAUUCGCAGGAACACCAGUGGCGAAGGCGACUUGCUGGACUUAUGGUGACGCUGAGACGCGAAAGCGUGGGGAGCAAACAGGAUUAGAUACCCGAGUAGUCCCUGAGCGGGCUGGCAAGGCGCAU
RNAcentral lists this ribosomal RNA (446 nucleotides) under uncultured bacterium. Its description in RNAcentral is "bacterial SSU rRNA". It matches the Rfam family "Bacterial small subunit ribosomal RNA", at positions 355 to 825 of the family's 1533-position model. The record is from RNAcentral.